Long non-coding RNA from Alligator mississippiensis (American alligator), 2341 nucleotides. RefSeq lists it as uncharacterized. The transcript is spliced from 3 exons. Lineage: Eukaryota; Metazoa; Chordata; Crocodylia; Alligatoridae. The record is from RefSeq and is a predicted model, not a curated record.
UGCUGGGUUGUGCGCUGGGUGGGGCUGCCCUGCGUCGGCCUCCUCCUGCUGAUCCAAGUCCUCAUCCUGCUCUCCACCAAGUGCCCCCGUACAGCAGGGAGAGCAGCAGCAAUGAAGAAUGAUGUGCACCCAAGGCAGAGCCCGGAGACAGAAUAUGCUGCUGUGAGCCACGGCGGCAGAAAUGUUCCUGCAUGACUGAUGUAUUCACAUGUUCAGCCUUAAAAUAAAAACUCUAGGAGCAUGCGUGUACAUGAGGAAGAAACACGUGACACCGAGCAGCUGCCCAGCGUGUGCGCAUGUGAAUGGAGGAGGGGGAGGAAGAGGGGGAGGCUGGCCAUCAGACACAGGAGAUCACGUCUCAGACCAUGAGUUUCAAUGUCAAGGACCAAAAUUAUAUAGAGGAAACAGUAAAGGGGGCGGGACAUGAUUUUUAUUAGGCAACAAGUACAGGCAGCUUUGGGCCAGGAAGUCAGCCUGACACUGCUUUCCGGUGAGGCGGAGCAUGGAGCAUGCAUGCCCCAUGCAGGCUCCCGCUGUCAUGCCCCCCUCCCUCGUUUCCCCGGGCCUGGGUCCUCCACACACCAGGGGCUGAAACGUCUCCCCGCAGACUGCAGUCACCCCGGCCGCGCUGCCUCUCUCUCAGCAGGAAACCUCCCACCUCCUGGCGCCCGAGGUCGGGAUCUCCUGCUCUUGGUCUCUAAAGCGGGGGCAGAGUUCACCCUUGCAGUCGCACUGUGGAGCUGGUCUGGCGCAGAUCAUCCCCGGGCACCAAGAAGCAGCGAACACCACGGAGCAGCAGUCAAGGGAACAAGAGGCAGCAGCUCGGCAGGGACCAGCUGGGGGUUUCCAGGCCCGAUUCCUUUGUGCUCGAGACUUUCCCUGUUUCCCUUCCACGGGGGCUGAAUCCAGGAUCUCCAGCGGCGCUUCUGUCAUGGUUAUAUCCUUAGCAAAUUUCUCCAUCCAGAAGAACACCCUGGGCAGGAUGGUAAUAGACCUCUCCCUAACUAUAGCGCUGAGAAUGUCUUCAUUAAAAUGACCCCUUUUACUUCAUUUAACAGCCUAGAAGAGAAGUCACACCCCUAAAGUCACUGACCAGUUUCAGAAAGUUUGGGAAGUUUUAGCAAUGGGAAACUUGUGCUUUCGAGUUCAUGUUCAAUGGGGGAGCAGGAAAAAGAUUGUCUCACUUGGAAAUGUGGUGGUAAUGUUUGGAAUUUGCUAAAAGAAAAGUCUUCUCUUGCCUCCAAACCAGAAAGCUGCAGAAAUGUUUUUGAACAUUGAAACAAAGUGCAAUGUCUGAGAACUAAUGCUUAAGAACAAAUUUGGAAUACAUUUAAGAUUUAAAAGAGCAAGACAGUGAGAUGUGUAUUAUGUAGAGCUCUAGGGGAAAAGCUGAAGGGGUCAGUGAAUUAUUAUAUUGAGAUAAAGAAACACAAACUUAAGCACAACAGAAACAAGGACCUGUCAGAGACUGAGAGGAAAGGAAGUAAAGAACCCAGCACUCCUGGAGACAUUGAUGUGGGUUCAGGGAGCCCUGCUGAUGGAAGGUAAGUAUGGCUAGGGACAGAAAUUACACAUAAACUGGUUUAAGUGAUCAGAAACUGGUUUAAAACUGUAACAGAACAGAAGCUCAGUGCACAGUUUCAAGAUGGCUUAAACUGGUUUAAGAUAAAUCUGGUUGAAUGUAGCAUCAAACUUAACUGAUUUGGGUCAAACCAGUUUAUGAAACUUCUUUCCCAGACCCAUUCCCGGUUCUAGUUAAAUCACAGUCCUGCAGCAUCCCAGCAUGCUUUGCAGCCCUGAGCUGGGCUGUGCUCUCUACUCCAGAGAACAGGGCUCAGCCUGCCCUUUCUUCCUAGCUGGAGCAGUGAAGACUGGAUGACAAGGUGGGGAGAGAGGAAGGCAAGCCUGGCUGGGGAUGCAGCCCAGUCUACAGGGUCAGGGAGUGGAACUCCCCCCCCCCCGUGCCCACAUAAACCCUGGAUGGGGUCUGGGGCCAGGGAGGAAGUUAAACAGCCCUUUCCCUGCUCAAUCUUACCACUGGUUGCAAAUGUGGACUACAAAUCCCAGAGGCAUGUGGAAGCAGGAAGAGGAAGUGAACACACAGCCAGAGAGCCAUGCUCUGGCAUCACCCUGCACCUGGCCUGACCCACUGCAGUCAUGUGGCUGGAUUUCCUGAAUCAAAAGUGAAUGUCUGUUCACUUCUGUUUCAAUUUAAUCUGUGCAGUUUAGACCAGCCUGCAAAGACUGAAUCAAUUUAGCCUCAGGCUUUGUGACUGUCCGUAUUUAACCUAUCUGUCUCUAUGUGUAUUUUAGAGGAUUGGAUGUAUCUUAAAAAGUUCAA